GUCUCAGUGGCACAGUGGUAAGUGCACAGCCCUGGAUAGGCUGAUACGCGGGUUCGAAUCCCGCCUGAGAUG
RNAcentral lists this transfer RNA (72 nucleotides) under Nippostrongylus brasiliensis. It matches the Rfam family "tRNA". Rfam says of the family: Transfer RNA (tRNA) molecules are approximately 80 nucleotides in length. Their secondary structure includes four short double-helical elements and three loops (D, anti-codon, and T loops). Further hydrogen bonds mediate the characteristic L-shaped molecular structure. tRNAs have two regions of fundamental functional importance: the anti-codon, which is responsible for specific mRNA codon recognition, and the 3' end, to which the tRNAs corresponding amino acid is attached (by aminoacyl-tRNA synthetases). tRNAs cope with the degeneracy of the genetic code in two manners: having more than one tRNA (with a specific anti-codon) for a particular amino acid; and 'wobble' base-pairing, i.e. permitting non-standard base-pairing at the 3rd anti-codon position. The record is from Rfam by way of RNAcentral. Lineage: Eukaryota; Metazoa; Nematoda; Chromadorea; Rhabditida; Heligmosomidae.